AGAGUUUGAUCAUGGCUCAGGACGAACGCUGGCGGCGUGCUUAACACAUGCAAGUCACGGGGGCCCGCAAGGGCAACCGGCGAACGGGUGCGUAACACGUGAGCAACCUGCCCGCUUCUGGGGGAUAGCCGGCCCAACGGCCGGGUAAUACCGCAUACGUUCGCUUCGGGGCAUCUCGAGGCGAGGAAAGCAGCGAUGCGGAAGCGGAGGGGCUCGCGGCCUAUCAGCUUGUUGGUGGGGUAACGGCCCACCAAGGCGACGACGGGUAGCUGGUCUGAGAGGAUGGCCAGCCACAUUGGGACUGAGAGACGGCCCAGACUCCUACGGGAGGCAGCAGUGGGGAAUCUUGCGCAAUGGCCGAAAGGCUGACGCAGCGACGCCGCGUGGGGGAGGAAGGCCUUCGGGUUGUAAACCCCUGUUGCCCGGGACGAACCCCUGGUUUCGACCAGGUUGACGGUACCGGGUGAGGAAGCACCGGCUAACUCCGUGCCAGCAGCCGCGGUAAUACGGAGGGUGCGAGCGUUGUCCGGAAUCACUGGGCGUAAAGGGCGCGUAGGCGGCCGCGUAAGCGUGUGGUGAAAGCUCGGGGCUCAACCCCGAGUCGGCCAUGCGAACUGUGCGGCUCGAGCCCACUAGAGGCAGGCGGAAUUCCGGGUGUAGCGGUGGAAUGCGUAGAGAUCCGGAAGAACACCGGUGGCGAAGGCGGCCUGCUGGGGUGGAGCUGACGCUGAGGCGCGACAGCGUGGGGAGCAAACAGGAUUAGAUACCCUGGUAGUCCACGCCGUAAACGAUGGGCACUA
This 800-nucleotide ribosomal RNA is filed under the name uncultured bacterium. Its description in RNAcentral is "bacterial SSU rRNA". It matches the Rfam family "Bacterial small subunit ribosomal RNA", at positions 8 to 818 of the family's 1533-position model. The record is from RNAcentral.